UCCACCUGGUCCUGGUAAUUGUAAAUCUCACCUCUUUUUAGUUAUACUUCUCCGGUCUUUCUUUUGUUGUGUCUUUGCUCUUUUCAAAUUUCAAGUUUAAAUUACCUUUUCAGUUAAGUCAACCGUAGAAUUUUUUUGGCAUUAGGGAGGCAUAGCUGCUAUCUCGCUAUCUGCAAACGUAUUCAACAAGACAUAAUGUUCUUGAAAAUUCUACUAUUGGCACCCCCAACGCAGCCCACAUCAUCUUGGUACAGAGACGGUUUUCCCUUUUCCAAAACAGGCUGCACUUAUCAUCUGAGAACCUUCGGAGCUCUUUGAGAAAGGUUUCCUCUUUUAUUAACUUAAUGUUGCCAAUGUGUUCCCUCUGCCAAUGUGUACAAACCGAGUCUGUCUUUGAACAUCUUUUGUAUUUUGUUUGCCAGCUGCAAGUCACCAAGUUCGACCAACUCAACCCCACGACAAGUUAAACAAAGGAAAAAGUAUGCAAUCCUUCGCCCAUUUCUCAAAAAGUAAGCCCGCUCUUUCCAUUAUGUUUUCGUAUGGCCUAUUUAUCGUCGCAUUGUUGUAUAUUUUGCAUUAUUACUAAUUUAACAUUGCCAAUCUAUUUUCUCUAACAACGUGUAUAACACUUAACUUAUCUAACUUUGCCUACUUACAUUUUAACUUCAACCUUUAAACAUGUUAUGUAUUUUGAUUACUAGCUGCCAGCCGCGAUGUCAGACUCAAUUCCUGCGCAAUUUAGAUAAAGGAAAGCAAGUAUGCAGCCUAUUCACUAUCUUUGAAACAGGUAAUCCAGCUCUUUGCCUUAUAUUUUUCAGUAUGGCAUAUUGAUCAUCACUUUAUUGUAAAUUGUGAUUGUUUGCACAUAAGGGUGCAUGUUGGAUGUGUCUACUCAGCAUUAUGCGGCCUUAAAUACAGUUCCAAUCGAAAGGUUUGUGCUAAAUUGAUACUCCAAUAAUAUCUACUUCACCUAUUACUGAACAGCGAAGCGAGUAAUAUGAUUCUAAAAAAAGUUCCUAACUGUUCAUAUUGUGGCACACAAAAAUUUGAAUACAAAAGAAGAAUCUAAACAUUUUCGAACAUAGAUUAGAACAUACAAUAAUAUGUUGAACACAUUGCUUGGUGUGAAGUACGAUAAAAAAAAUUGUGAAAAGAAAUUGUGGUAUGUACAGAUUUAGAGAACAAGGACAUAUGUAUCAUUUCAUAGAUGAUUUAGUCGCUUCCAACGAAAAACCCAACAACUUACAAUUAUACUUUUCUGAUCAUGAGAAUGAAUUGGCUAGCAGAAUGGCCAAAAAACCCCAAACUAUUAGAGGCAAGGCUAAUGACAAAAAGGGUCUAAGAAGUCAUGGUACUUACUCCCUCUGUUUCAUCUUCGAUUUACUUAAACUAAUACUCAUUAUUAUAUAAUUAAAGUUUAAAGUUACAAUUUAUGAGUGCAGUAAUUUUAAUAGCAUCAAUUGUUGAGAUUUUUACUGGUAAAACAAAAUACAUACUAAAAUACUUUAGCAGUACAAAAAGAAAUAUCUAUUCAUAAUAUCUUGAGAUUGUUUCCUAUUAAGCUAUUCAAAGAAGGAAACAGUGUGAUUGACUUGUCUUUUUGUUUACCUAUUUUGAUUAAAAUAAAGAUAUUCUCCUUCACUCCACAUUAUCAUUUUACUUAACAAAAGAAACAAUAACUUGUGUACCGAAAGAGGUACCAUUUUCUCAUGAAUUUAUCUUGAGUUGAGAUUCUUUGGUCAAUUUUAUCCAAUUUUGCUAACAGCAGUCCAUUUUCAAUCUUAAAUUGGUUAAAAUACAGCAACGGAAUUGGGUAUUUAUUUAAGGUGACAAUGUAUAUUAUUUAUUAAACUCUUAUGUUUUAUUGUGCUUUCUAUUCUGGCUUUGAAAUUUGGGGCUAAGAAAAAGGUUGGGAUGUUCAUUGUUCAAGUAAUUUGAGAUAUUAGACGAUGCUAUUGAUGUAAUGAAAUUGGAAGAUGCUGUAAUUCAAAACAUGGUAAAGUCUCUGAUUUGUGUUCACAAGUUGCAAUCCUUGAUUGUUUUUCAUUGUAUUGGGUUAUUUUUCAUAAUAUUGGCAAUUUUGACAAAUGUACAAUGAUUUUAACUCCACUAUGUACAUACUUGGUCACCCAUGGAAGAAGUGUGAAAAGAUAAUUCAGCAAUUAUUUGGAAACCUUUCCUCAUGUUGGGAACCAAAAUGAGGUACAAGAAGCAAUGUAAAGUGUACUUCAAACAGAACUUGAGUUGUACGAGUAGGGUUAAAAUAGGAAAUUCACUUUAUUCACUCUCUCACCUCUGCUUCUACUCUUUCUUCUCUGGCUGACAACAUUGACAGCCAUUUUAAACCUUCAACGGAGUUAAACUUUGCUUCAGAGUCUCACUCCAACUUCUCAAGUUCGUUCAAUUGUUUACCUGGUAAGUAUUCUUGUGUGGUAUUGACCCUCUUCCCUUGUGAAUUUUAACUCUUUUUUUCCCAUUAUUGUGUUUAUGCUUCCUAUUAUUUUACUGAUUUUUCUUAUUUAUAGGUCUUCCACAAUUUUUCUCGGAUUCUUUUGAGUUCAGAUAGAUGCCUCUUGAAAUACAUGCAUAAUUUGUUUUCAAUAUUUUGCAGUUUCUAGCUCUAAAAUACUAAAAAAUAUUAGUAGUAUUUUCUUAUCAAUAUAUGAUACUUUUUGUAGAUAAUUAAUGGCUUGAUGCGGUAGCAUGUUUGCCGGAAUUUCCUGUGAAGGUAAGACUUGUGUGUUAUGAAGAGAGAUUAGUUACAAGAGUUGAUUGUUUUGGCAGAUGAUUGAAGGUGCUAAUGAAGUUGAACGGUGGGCUUAGGUGAAUAGACAUUUUCCCUUGUAAUAUCUUUUUUUCAUAUGGUAUUUUCCCCAAAAAAUAUUGAGUAAGAAUUUGAGUUGCCGAAUUCUUUGAUGCUGCCAUGAAAUUAGAAGUGAUAACGUAAUGCUGAAAAUUCUGGGUAAGCUUUCAGUAUUGAUCUUUUUGUUGUUUGAACUACAUUUUUGAAAAAAUUCAACUACUAAUAUAGUAAGUUGAGGUGAUAUUCAAAGACAAAUUGUUUAAAUACAAAGUCAGAAUAACAAGCAGGUUGAAUCAGGUGAAAAGGUUCAUUUCUGGCUCUCCAAUUUCCAAGUCCUUUAAGGUACCAUUCCACAUUUUCUUAAGAACAUUUAAACUUUUGCCAAUGAAUCGUGAUGUUGGUGUUGCAUUUAUUUUUACCAGUUCUUGGAUAAAAGCUGAAACUUUAAUAUUGAAAAUUCUGUUACUGGAUUGAGUUCUAGAAGUCUGUCAUAUCAUCUUAUGCUUUCUCAAAAUUUUUGUUUCAUGUGUUCAUAACAAACGAUUGUAAAACCCUUCUAAUGUUAUGCAUUUAUAUUUAUUUUUCACAAAUAUAUAUCAAGUAAAAGUGAUCUUUUGCUAUGUCUUUUUUCCUGUUUCUUGUAGGCCGCAUGAAAAUAUGCCUUCGGUUUGGAUUGAGUCGGGAAUGAUACGAAUGAUAUGAUUCCCUCUGCUGACUAUAAGAAGCAUAUUCUAUUUCUCCAUUUGUAUGAGUAAAUUCUAUCAUUUCUUUGAGAUAUAAAAUUAUAAGCUAUGUAUCAAUGUUAUUUUGGACAUUUCAUUUUUAUAGGAAAUGCACUGAUGGUAGCAGCAUGUGCUGCUAUAGUUUCAUAUUUUAACUCUUUAUUGUUUUCCCUACUGAAUUUCCCUUUCAGAUUCAAGUGAUGAUUCAAUAUGAUGACACUGUUGUUAAAUCAAAAUUUAUCUUUUUUAGCCAAGUAGACUGAGUAUUGACAUUUUAAUUAUGUUGCCUAAUUGAUA
RNAcentral lists this long non-coding RNA (3822 nucleotides) under Solanum tuberosum (potato). RNAcentral describes it as "long non-coding RNA (STUB_LNC011835)". The record is from RNAcentral. Lineage: Eukaryota; Viridiplantae; Streptophyta; Magnoliopsida; Solanales; Solanaceae.